AUUGAACGCUGGCGGCAUGCCUUACACAUGCAAGUCGAACGGCAGCACGGGAGCAAUCCUGGUGGCGAGUGGCGAACGGGUGAGUAAAGUAUCGGAACGUGCCCAGUCGUGGGGGAUAACGUAGCGAACGUUACGCUAAUACCGCAUAUGAUCUAUGGAUGAAAGCGGGGGAUCGCAAGACCUCGCGCGAUUGGAGCGGUCGAUAUCGAAUUAGGAAGUUAGUGGGGGAAAGGAUCACCAAGCCGACGAGCUGUAGCUGGGCUGAGAGGACGACCAGCCACACGGGGACUGAGACACGGCCCAGACUCCUACGGGAGGCAGCAGUGGGGAAUUUUGGACAAUGGGCGAAAGCCUGAUCCAGCCAUGCCGCGUGCAGGAUGAAGGCCUUCGGGUUGUAAACUGCUUUUGUACGGAACGAAAAGGUCUGGCCUAAUAAGCUGAGCUCAUGACGGUACCGUAAGAAUAAGCACCGGCUAACUACGUGCCAGCCGCCGCCGUAA
Molecule: ribosomal RNA, 500 nt
Filed under: uncultured bacterium
Lineage: Bacteria
Description: partial 16S ribosomal RNA
Rfam family: Bacterial small subunit ribosomal RNA
Source: RNAcentral